UACGGGAGGCAGCAGUGGGGAAUAUUGCACAAUGGGCGCAAGCCUGAUGCAGCCAUGCCGCGUGUAUGAAGAAGGCCUUCGGGUUGUAAAGUACUUUCAGCGGGGAGGAAGGCGGUGAAGUUAAUAGCUUCACCGAUUGACGUUACCCGCAGAAGAAGCACCGGCUAACUCCGUGCCAGCAGCCGCGGUAAUACGGAGGGUGCAAGCGUUAAUCGGAAUUACUGGGCGUAAAGCGCACGCAGGCGGUCUGUCAAGUCGGAUGUGAAAUCCCCGGGCUUAACCUGGGAACUGCAUUCGAAACUGGCAGGCUAGAGUCUUGUAGAGGGGGUAGAAUUCCAGGUGUAGCGGUGAAAUGCGUAGAGAUCUGGAGGAAUACCGGUGGCGAAGGCGGCCCCUGGGACAAAGACUGACGCUCAGGUGCGAAAGCGUGGGGAGCGAAACAGGGAUUAGAUACC
RNAcentral lists this ribosomal RNA (455 nucleotides) under uncultured bacterium. Its description in RNAcentral is "bacterial SSU rRNA". It matches the Rfam family "Bacterial small subunit ribosomal RNA", at positions 340 to 786 of the family's 1533-position model. The record is from RNAcentral.